Molecule: ribosomal RNA, 253 nt
Filed under: uncultured bacterium
Lineage: Bacteria
Description: partial 16S ribosomal RNA
Rfam family: Bacterial small subunit ribosomal RNA
Source: RNAcentral
UACAGAGGCCCCAAGCGUUAGUCGGAAUCACUGGGCUUAAAGGGUGCGUAGGCGGGCGUGUAAGUGUCUUGUGAAAGCCCUGGGCUCAACCCAGGAACCGCAGGGCAUACUGCACGUCUAGAGGAAACUAGAGGCCGGCAGAACGAUCGGUGGAGCGGUGGAAUGCGUAGAGAUCGAUCGGAAUGCCAAGGGUGAAGACAGCCGGCUGGGGUUUUCCUGACGCUGAGGCACGAAAGCGUGGGGAUCAAACAGG